RNAcentral lists this transfer RNA (67 nucleotides) under Neotermes castaneus (southern dampwood termite). RNAcentral's name for it is "tRNA-Phe". Lineage: Eukaryota; Metazoa; Arthropoda; Insecta; Blattodea; Kalotermitidae. The record is from RNAcentral.
ACUUGAAUAGCUUAUGUAGAGCAUGAUAUUGAAGAUGUCAUUGAGGUUUAGAAGUAACCUUUGAGUA